RNAcentral lists this ribosomal RNA (255 nucleotides) under uncultured bacterium. RNAcentral describes it as "partial 16S ribosomal RNA". It matches the Rfam family "Bacterial small subunit ribosomal RNA", at positions 524 to 776 of the family's 1533-position model. The record is from RNAcentral.
UACGUAGGGUGCAAGCGUUUAAUCGGAAUUACUGGGCGUAAAGCGUGCGCAGGCGGUUUGGUAAGACAGAUGUGAAAUCCCCGGGCUCAACCUGGGAAUUGCAUUUGUGACUGCCCGACUAGAGUGUGUCAGAGGGGGGUAGAAUUCCACGGUGUAGCAGUGAAAUGCGUAGAGAUGUGGAGGAAUACCGAUGGCGAAGGCAGCCCCCUGGGAUAACACUGACGCUCAUGCACGAAAGCGUGGGGAGCAAACAGG